This 252-nucleotide ribosomal RNA is filed under the name uncultured bacterium. Its description in RNAcentral is "partial 16S ribosomal RNA". It matches the Rfam family "Bacterial small subunit ribosomal RNA", at positions 524 to 776 of the family's 1533-position model. The record is from RNAcentral.
UACAGAGGUCUCAAGCGUUGUUCGGAUUCAUUGGGCGUAAAGGGUGCGUAGGCGGCGCGGUAAGUCGGGUGUGAAAUCUCGGGGCUUAACUCCGAAACUGCAUUCGAUACUGCCGUGCUUGAGGACUGGAGAGGAGACUGGAAUUUACGGUGUAGCGGUGAAAUGCGUAGAUAUCGUAAGGAAGACCAGUGGCGAAGGCGGGUCUCUGGACAGUUCCUGACGCUGAGCACGAAGGCCAGGGGAGCAAACGGG